This 514-nucleotide long non-coding RNA is filed under the name Homo sapiens (human). Its description in RNAcentral is "non-protein coding lnc-COL4A3-4:2". The record is from RNAcentral. Lineage: Eukaryota; Metazoa; Chordata; Mammalia; Primates; Hominidae.
UCUUUGGCCUUCUGAUCUCUUCAGCUUUGUUUGGAGACAGUCUCUUUCUGCCACCCAGGCUGGAGUGCAAUGGUGCAAUCUUGGAUCACUGUAACCGCUGCCUCCAGGGUUCAAACGAUUCUCCUGCCUCAGCUUCCCAGGUAGCUGGGAUUACAGGCGUCUGCCACCACGCCCAGCUAAUUUUUGUAUUUUUAGUAGAGACGGUUUCACCACGUUUGCCAAGCUGGUCCCGAACUCCUGACCUCAGGUAAUCCACCUGCCUCGUCUUCAGUUUAGUUAUACCUUCUUUGACCCAGAAUUUGGUAAAGACCAGAGGGAGCCUCUUAAACAGAAUCUUACCUGUAAAACUCAGGAGCCGAGAAGCUUUAAGAACAGUGAGGUUGAAGGGCACAGGCUCUUGGUCCUUGGCAGCGAUAUUAGGAGGCGUGCCUAGGGAACCUCGGAUUCCGGGGAGCUGGACGUGAAACUCUGUGGUGGAAUAGAAAUCCUCAGGGCAUGAGCUAUACCUAAAACG